This 270-nucleotide signal recognition particle RNA is filed under the name Colobus angolensis palliatus. RNAcentral's name for it is "Metazoan signal recognition particle RNA (ENSCANG00000003747.1)". It matches the Rfam family "Metazoan signal recognition particle RNA". From Rfam's summary of the family: The signal recognition particle (SRP) is a universally conserved ribonucleoprotein. It is involved in the co-translational targeting of proteins to membranes. The record is from RNAcentral. Lineage: Eukaryota; Metazoa; Chordata; Mammalia; Primates; Cercopithecidae.
AAUAAAAAGAAAAAAGUUUUUUUAAAGGUUGAGGUGUGAGUAUCACUUGAGCCUAGGGAUUCUGGUUCACAGUGUGCUAUGCCAAUUAGGUUCCCACUAAUUGAAUGUUCAGCAUCAAUGUGGUGACCUCCCAGGAGUGGGAGACCACCAGGCUGCCUAAGGAGGGGUGAACCAGAGCAGGUCAAAACUCCUGCGAUGACCAGUAGUGAGAUGUGGCCUGUGAAUAGCUCCUGCACUCCAGCCUGGACAACAUAGCAAGAUCCUCUCUCU